This 253-nucleotide ribosomal RNA is filed under the name uncultured bacterium. Its description in RNAcentral is "partial 16S ribosomal RNA". It matches the Rfam family "Bacterial small subunit ribosomal RNA", at positions 524 to 776 of the family's 1533-position model. The record is from RNAcentral.
GACAGAGGUGCCGAGCGUUAGGCGGAAUCACUGGGCUUAAAGCGUGUGUAGGCGGAUCGUUAAGUGCCUUGUGAAAUCCCACGGCUCAACCGUGGAACUGCUUGGCAUACUGGCGAUCUUGAGCCACUUAGGGGCUACCGGAACAAAUGGUGGAGCGGUGAAAUGCGUAGAUAUCAUUUGGAACGCCAAUGGUGAAAACAGGUAGCUGGGAGUGUGCUGACGCUGAGACACGAAAGCCAGGGGAGCAAACGGG